Long non-coding RNA from Herpailurus yagouaroundi (jaguarundi), 833 nucleotides. RefSeq lists it as uncharacterized. The record is from RefSeq and is a predicted model, not a curated record. The transcript has 3 exons. Lineage: Eukaryota; Metazoa; Chordata; Mammalia; Carnivora; Felidae.
GUCUCUGGGCUCGCGGCCCCCGGAGGCCCGUCUCUGCUGCGCGGUUUUUCUAGAUCAGCUCUUUCUGUGUCGCUUUCUUUAGAUCAUCUGCUCCUUGAGGGGCCGGGGUCUCCACGGUCCCCAGGACGUGCCCUCCCUCUCGCAGACUCCUGGGCGGCCGAUUUCUCCUUCCCUGAAGUGAAGCGGGAAGCACGCCCACCCUCUCCAGCCCGUUUUUAACCGGUUGCUCACCUAAGCACCUUUUUAAAGUGGAAAAAGGGCAUCACGCUGGGAGGCUGAGCCGGGAACCCCGGAACCAGUGCUGGAGCGACAGCAGUGAACACAGGAGCCAAGCCGUCUGUCCUCACAGGGUUUUCGUUCUACAGGAAGUACAAUAAAGAAGUCCUCACGCAGUGGGACACACGCACACUUGUGUGCACACACUCAAGACUGCUUGAAGAUUCAGCUUUACUCAAGUGCAAUUUUCCCAGAGAUUCUCCUACUUCAUUCCUCGGACCCUUGGACCCUAAAGCAGGCCGCCAACAUACCAGACCCGUGCAGGCCUCUGGCAGCUGACGCUCACCGCGGGGCUGGGAAGUUUGUGCCUUCCAGGUCACUGCCUGUGCUUGGUUUGUGCCAGUCACGGACACAACCGAUGCAGGCUUUACUUAGUUCACCCAAAUGUUGAUGACCCAGGUGCCCUAGUAUGGUCUUUACAAGUAGGCAGAAUAACACCCCACCCCCCAAAUAGCUGCCUCUUAAUAUCCAGAACCUGUGACGAUGCUACCUUAUGUGGCAAAAGGGCUUUGUAGAUGUGACUAAGUUAAAGAUUUUCAUUAAAAAAAAAUUUUAAA